Molecule: ribosomal RNA, 255 nt
Filed under: uncultured bacterium
Lineage: Bacteria
Description: partial 16S ribosomal RNA
Rfam family: Bacterial small subunit ribosomal RNA
Source: RNAcentral
UACGUAGGGGGCAAGCGUUGUCCGGAUUUAUUGGGCGUAAAGAGCGUGUAGGCGGCCAUACAGGUCAGCUGUGAAAACUCGAGGCUCAACCUCGAGACGUCGGUUGAAACCGUAUGGCUAGAGUCCGGAAGAGGAGAGUGGAAUUCCCGGUGUAGCGGUGAAAUGCGCAGAUAUCGGGAAGAACACCCGUGGCGAAGGCGGCUCUCUGGGACGGUACUGACGCGUGAGACGGCGAAAGCGUGGGGAGCGAACAGG